CCGACCUUAGCUCAGUUGGUAGAGCGGAGGACUGUAGUUGGAGACAUCCAAAUGGAUAUCCUUAGGUCGCUGGUUCGAAUCCGGCAGGUCGGA
Lupinus angustifolius (narrow-leaved blue lupine) is the source of this 93-nucleotide non-coding RNA. The record is from Rfam. NCBI's taxonomy places the organism in Eukaryota, Viridiplantae, Streptophyta, Magnoliopsida, Fabales, Fabaceae.